RNAcentral lists this ribosomal RNA (301 nucleotides) under uncultured bacterium. RNAcentral's name for it is "partial 16S ribosomal RNA". It matches the Rfam family "Bacterial small subunit ribosomal RNA", at positions 509 to 809 of the family's 1533-position model. The record is from RNAcentral.
CAGCAGCCGCGGUAAAACGUAGGGUGCAAGCGUUGUCCGGAAUUAUUGGGCGUAAAGAGCUCGUAGGCGGUUUGUCGCGUCUGCUGUGAAAUCUGGGGGCUCAACCCCCAGCCUGCAGUGGGUACGGGCAGACUAGAGUGCGGUAGGGGAGAUUGGAAUUCCUGGUGUAGCGGUGGAAUGCGCAGAUAUCAGGAGGAACACCGAUGGCGAAGGCAGAUCUCUGGGCCGUAACUGACGCUGAGGAGCGAAAGCAUGGGGAGCGAACAGGAUUAGAGACCCCCGUAGUCCCUGUCUCUUAUAA